Non-coding RNA from Rattus norvegicus (Norway rat), 779 nucleotides. Lineage: Eukaryota; Metazoa; Chordata; Mammalia; Rodentia; Muridae. The record is from RefSeq and is a predicted model, not a curated record.
GAGCUCAUUCUGAACACUAGGAAGGGGGAACGUUAGAAAAAUACCAAGCAAAGAGAAACUGAUUUGACAUGUAUUUCAUAAAUGGAGGAGAAGGUGGGUAAAGGAAAAGAAAGGAAGAAGAGAAGAAGGGGGAGAGAGGAAAAGGGAAGGGGAGGGAGAUGAAAUAUAAUUUGUCAUUUCACAGAAAAUGGGAAGUAGGCUGGGUGGGACAUGGGUAUUUUGUGUUUGGAAGUGACGUGGAAACUGCACUGUGGCUGAAUAAUACACGAUCACCCUGAGAUCAAAGGGAUAUGCAGCCCUUUCCACAUUCAGAUGUAUGUGUCUGAAUAUGGAAGAGUUAACCAAGAUGAAUGAUGUUAUCCAGGUACCACUCUGCCCCUAAAGAAACAGUGUCUCUCUAAGAGGAAUCACACAGGGAAAGUUCAUUUGCUUGCUCCCUCCUUGCUUCCUGACAGGAAGUCAGCUGUCAGCCAGCCAGCCAGGAAGACAACCCUCCUCCCGACCUGGCUACACUUGUACCCUCACCUUGCUUUCCACUCUCCAAAACUGUGAGAAAUUUCACGAUGACAUCCUAAACUGAAAAUUACACAGAGAAGAAAGAAAGUGUAUUUAUACAGCCUUGUAUGGUAACAAGCCACUUUGAAAAGUAUUGGAUGUGUCUUAUCCUUACAAAAUGGGCAAGAACUGCUGCCUCUGUGUUUAAAAUGAGAUGCUCAUAAAGAACACACAGAUUACCACGAGCAGUACCGUACCAGAUAAUAAACCACACAUGACAGAAA